AGCUUGGCGCAGUGGCAGUACUGUAGCCAAUGAGGUUUACCUGAGGCACAAUUAUUGCUAAUUAAAUGUUAGGUAGAAUUCCCCUGGAAGUCAUCUGGCCCUGGACUCUAGUUUGAUGGGAAUUUUUGAUUACUGCUUCAAUUUUCUUGCUG
Molecule: non-coding RNA, 152 nt
Organism: Mustela putorius furo (domestic ferret)
Lineage: Eukaryota; Metazoa; Chordata; Mammalia; Carnivora; Mustelidae
Source: Rfam